Molecule: signal recognition particle RNA, 266 nt
Filed under: Thermoleophilia bacterium
Lineage: Bacteria; Bacillati; Actinomycetota; Thermoleophilia
Description: signal recognition particle sRNA large type
Rfam family: Bacterial large signal recognition particle RNA
About the family: The signal recognition particle (SRP) is a universally conserved ribonucleoprotein involved in the co-translational targeting of proteins to membranes. Archaeal SRP consists of a 7S RNA and homologues of the eukaryotic SRP19 and SRP54 proteins. In most bacteria, the SRP consists of a 4.5S RNA and the Ffh protein (a homologue of the eukaryotic SRP54 protein).
Source: RNAcentral
CCGUGCUAAGCGGGGAGCUGGCGGUGCCCUGUACCCGCAAUCCGCCUAGCGGGGCCGAAUUCCCGGUCGAGGGGCCGAUCUGGCAGCCUUGGCCUCGCGCAAAGCGGUGUUGAUGGUGAGGUCCUACUCGGUGGACGCCCGCGAACCAGGUCAGGUCCGGAAGGAAGCAGCCUUAAGCGGUUCCGUUCAGGCGCAGUGGGAUCACCUCGCCGGAGCUGGCAGCACGAGUACUACUGCCGCGUGAGGUCUCGAAACCGGGUGCACGG